UGAGUCCUACGGGACGCAGCAGUGAGGAAUAUUGGUCAAUGGGCGGAAGCCUGAACCAGCCAAGUCGCGUGAGGGAAUAAGGCCCUACGGGUCGUAAACCUCUUUUGCCGGGGAGCAAGUGCGGGGACGUGUCCCGGCCCGGAGAGUACCCGGAGAAAAAGCAUCGGCUAAAUCCGUGCCAGCAGCCGCGGUAAUACGGAGGAUGCGAGCGUUAUCCGGAUUUAUUGGGUUUAAAGGGUGCGUAGGCGGGCGUUUAAGUCAGCGGUAAGAAUGCG
Molecule: ribosomal RNA, 275 nt
Filed under: uncultured bacterium
Lineage: Bacteria
Description: partial 16S ribosomal RNA
Rfam family: Bacterial small subunit ribosomal RNA
Source: RNAcentral